AGAGACAGCAGCCGCCACGGGAAUACGAGGGGGGCAAGCGUUGUUCGGAAUUAUUGGGCGUAAAGGGCGCGUAGGCGGUUUGACAAGUUUGGUGUGAAAUCUAUGGGCUCAACCCAUAGCCUGCAUCGAAAACUGUCGGGCUUGAGUAUGGGAGAGGUGAGUGGAAUUUCCGGUGUAGCGGUGAAAUGCGUAGAUAUCGGAAGGACACCAGUGGCGAAGGCGACUGACUGGACAAGUAUUGACGCUGAGGUGCGAAAGCGUGGGGAGCAAACAGGAUUAGAUACCCCGGUAGUCCCUGUCUCUUAUACC
This 309-nucleotide ribosomal RNA is filed under the name uncultured bacterium. RNAcentral's name for it is "partial 16S ribosomal RNA". It matches the Rfam family "Bacterial small subunit ribosomal RNA", at positions 504 to 808 of the family's 1533-position model. The record is from RNAcentral.